GCUCCUCUAGCUCAGUUGGUAGAGCAACGGACUCUUAAUCCGCAGGUCCUGGGUUCAAAUCCCAGGGGGAGCACUA
This 76-nucleotide transfer RNA is filed under the name Acidimicrobium sp. BACL27 MAG-120823-bin4. Its description in RNAcentral is "tRNA-Lys". It matches the Rfam family "tRNA". From Rfam's summary of the family: Transfer RNA (tRNA) molecules are approximately 80 nucleotides in length. Lineage: Bacteria; Bacillati; Actinomycetota; Acidimicrobiia; Acidimicrobiales; Acidimicrobiaceae. The record is from RNAcentral.